GUCAUCUGACUUUUGGCAAAAGGAGGAGACUUGGUUGGUUCGGGGAAUAUCUGAACCACACCACUAGCCAAAUUCUCAAUUUUCCAUCUCUCUCUCUCUCUCUGGUACGUCCACUUGUUUAGGGUUUUUACACUAGUAUCAAAAGUUCAUGAUGGGCCGCGCAGCUUUAAUCGCCUUUUGAAUCGUCCAUACGCAGUUGUAAUUUCUGCUCAAAGUUUUGAUUUUGGGGAUUUUAGGGCUUUGCGCCGCUGAAAUCUCAUCUGGGUGGUGAUUCAAUUGGGGCUAAUUGAAUUUUCGAUCUGGGUUUAGCUGGGUUCGGGGGAUUGAGAUUUCAUCUGGGUUGGGGCCAAAAUUUGAAAUUUUGGUACUGUUUUUUAUUUUAUUUGGACUCAAUUUGAGAAUUAGGGUUGUUUCUCUCUGUGGCGAUGGACGACGGAGAGCUUGAAUUUUCGAACCAGGAGCUUGAUUUUUCCUCGAUUCCAAACAUGACCGGUGAGCUUCCGAGUAGUUGCUCCAUGGAGAAUAUUUUCGGUGACUUCUUCAAGGAGACUGAUACUGCUUGCACUCACAACCACAUUUGCAACCCUCCCUCGGGCCCUGACUCGUCUCAUAGGCACACUUGCAUUCAUGUCCACACUAAGAUUUUGUCCUCUGGGCAAAGUGAGGACAAGGCUGGAACUGAUGAUACUGCCGAGUCUGGGGAGAAGAACUCCAAGAAAAGGCCUUUGGGUAAUCGGGAAGCUGUUCGCAAGUACCGGGAGAAGAAGAAGGCUCGAGCUGCUUCGUUGGAGGAUGAGGUUACCAGGUUGAGAGCUUUGAAUCAGCAGCUGAUGAAGAGGUUGCAGGGUCAGACUGCAUUGGAGGCCGAGAUUGCGAGGCUCAAGUGUUUGCUUGUGGACAUUAGGGGAAGGAUUGAAGGAGAAAUUGGAUCUUUUCCGUAUCAGAAGCCGGUGAAUCCGGGUCUGCAGAGUCACAACAUGAGCGGUACUUAUGUGAUGAAUCCAUGUAACAUGCAGUGCAAUGAUCAGCUUUAUUGCCUUCAACGAGGGGAUGAUGGAAAACGUGGAGAUGGGGCAGGAAUGAAUGGCCAAGGGUUUAGUGGUUGUGAAUUUGAGAAUCUUCAGUGUUUCACAAAUCAGGAUGGAGGAUCAAUGGGGCUUUCUGGAUGUGAUCUUGGAAAUGUGAUGUUAGAAUCCAAUGUCAAUCUUUCUGGCACAAAGAAGAGGAAAGGAGGGGCUCGAGCUGCAGCAGCGAAUUGAAGGAAUGGGAAAGUAGUGUCAUCAAAAGUACAUAUGGUCUUGCAAUAAGUAGUUUGUCAACUGCAACAUCAGCUUUCCCCUCAGCUCUUCUUCGCUUUCUGAGCUACAUGAAUUCUUGAUCUCUUACUUACAGAACGUAGAGAAGCUGGCAUGUGAUUUCAAUCAUGUUUCAGUGCUAGAGCUGUGAACAGUAUAGUUACCCGUUACUGAUGCAUCUGGCCAUCGCAAAUGUCAAUGGGAGCCUCUUUCCAACAUUGGGUUGAAAAAUGACUAUGCCAGGAAGAAGGGUCUCCGUAGGUUCAUUGCUUUUAGAUGGUCAGUCAGUUCAUUAGAAGAAUGUGUAUAGAAAAAUAGUUGGUGAUUUUCAUAAAAUGAGGGGUGCCUUUGGUCAUGAAGUGGGAUGGAAGUACUCCUAAAGUUGAUAAAUGAAAAAGCUUACAUAGAGCUCAUUUUAAAGCGAGAACAGAAUAUCAGUAUAUCUUUUGUCUCCUGCCACUAAUUUCAGAAACUAGUUAAGCUUUCUUAGUUUCUUGUUUAUUCUACACCCUCCUCUGGCCAAAAUAAACUAGACCGUUUUGCAAGUAAUAUCAUCUUGAAAUGUCUAGCUUCUCUGUCUUCAUUGUGGUCUAAUGGUAUAGCCUUCUUCUUUGAACAUUCUUCGUUGAUAAUACUACAAAGAUUUUCUGCUCUA
RNA transcript from Rosa rugosa (rugosa rose), 1950 nucleotides. It is a transcript of the gene named basic leucine zipper 23-like, with no coding region annotated. NCBI's taxonomy places the organism in Eukaryota, Viridiplantae, Streptophyta, Magnoliopsida, Rosales, Rosaceae. The record is from RefSeq and is a predicted model, not a curated record. The transcript is spliced from 4 exons.